GUAACAAGGUUUCCGUAGGUGAACCUGCGGAAGGAUCAUUACAGAAUGAAAAGUGCUUAACUGCAUUUUUUCUUACACAUGUGUUUUUCUCUUUUUGAAAACUUUGCUUUGGUAGGCCUUCUAUAUGGGGCCUGCCAGAGAUUAAACUCAACCAAAUUUUAUUUAAUGUCAACCGAUUAUUUAAUAGUCAAAACUUUCAACAACGGAUCUCUUGGUUCUCGCAUCGAUGAAGAACGCAGCGAAAUGCGAUAAGUAAUAUGAAUUGCAGAUAUUCGUGAAUCAUCGAAUCUUUGAACGCACAUUGCGCCCUUUGGUAUUCCAAAGGGCAUGCCUGUUUGAGCGUCAUUUCUCCCUCAAACCCUCGGGUUUGGUGUUGAGCGAUACGCUGGGUUUGCUUGAAAGAAAGGCGGAGUAUAAACUAAUGGAUAGGUUUUUUCCACUCAUUGGUACAAACUCCAAAACUUCUUCCAAAUUCGACCUCAAAUCAGGUAGGACUACCCGCUGAACUUAAGCAUAUCA
RNAcentral lists this unclassified non-coding RNA (519 nucleotides) under Lodderomyces parapsilosis. RNAcentral's name for it is "Candida parapsilosis sequence contains 18S rRNA gene, ITS1, 5.8S rRNA gene, ITS2, 28S rRNA gene". The stretch from base 192 to 345 matches the Rfam family "5.8S ribosomal RNA". The record is from RNAcentral. Lineage: Eukaryota; Fungi; Ascomycota; Pichiomycetes; Serinales; Debaryomycetaceae.